ACACUUGGCUCGUAAAAAACUCAAAAACCCUCACAAAAACCCAAUCAACCUCUCUCUCAAUCACGCUCACACUGGAAAAAUCCAGUCGUCAUGAGAAGGUAGUUGCGAUCGGAGCCUUCAUCGUCGACGCCGCCGCAGGCAGCUUUCUCCUCGCACACCCUGAAAACCAACACCCAAAUCCAAGAUCUCGCCAAAUCUGUCAAUCCCCCAAACCCUAGAUCUCCGCCUCUCCCUCUGCGGCACUCCUUCGCCGGAACUCACAGAGACAUAAGGAGCGGCAACUACAGCCUCUGCCUCUGACCACAACCCCGACUACAACCUCCUACUCUCUCCAAGCGCAAUCACAACUGCAACCGCAACCACAACCACAACCUGCUCCUUUCUCAACCUAGAUUCAAGGUCUUCCUCGUUUUCCUUCCUCCUCCAUUCUUCGGUGGAACCUGAAGUGCAAGCUCCCUCCAUACUUUCUUUUGACUCCGACUGAGAUUGAUAGGCUUCGCAUCUAAGCGAUGGUAAUCUUUCAAUUUUAAAUUUUUCUUAGAGGUACAACGACUUGAGGAGCGAUGGUAAUCUAUUAGGUAUCGUAUCUCUCUCUGAGUGAUGAUAAUUUUUGCAUAGUGUCACAACGAUUUUGAGUAUGUUACUGCUAGUUUUUGUAUAUAAAUUGUUUCUUCCAUUUUAGUAGUCUUGUUUCCCGAUUAUUGCGUUUUUAAUUUCAUUGGGUGAAUUGAGAUUUCUAUAAUUGAUUUGUGUUUGGCUGCCUGUAGUAUCCUGGUUUGUCUUCAUCGGGCAAUUUGAGGGUGUUCUAUUAUUUUUGGUCUAUCAUUGAUCUUGUUUAUAUUUACUACUAUAUGUUUUUCCUGAAAUAUCUUGGUAUAUGUCUGCUAGUUUUGGAAUAUGUUUAGGCUUUUAUUACCUCGUCAGUUGCUCCUGCUUUGCUUGGAGGAACCUUAUUGGGAUAUGUACAUUGACUUAAAAUCUGAAGAAAUCUCACUUGAACCAUCACUUCAGCGUUCAAAGGGAUUUGGGAUCGCUUCCUCCUUAUGGGACAAUGUUUUCAAAACAGUGCCUACAACAAAAGCUACAGAGAAAAUAAGUAACCAGUAGCACUGGCUGGUUAAUUAACAUACAUCUUCUUGUUACUAUGUAGUUAAUAAUACAUGGAUGCCUCGUAACACUGAAUGUGACCACAAGUUUUUGUUGGAUACCCUCGUUGGCCGGUCCUACAACAAUUGUUGCUCGAAGUAGUGGCAGUGGUGUCUCGUGGCUUUUCCCCUUUGUUGAUGGUCAGCCACCCCUUGGGUGAUCACACACCUUUGCAUAUCUUGUCUUGCCAAUUUUGUUGGUUGUCUCGCAGUACGUAUCUGUUCAAAUUAUGCAGGUUCUUUGGGUUCCGGAAAGGUGUUGAAUCUCUUCUCCAAGAAUGCAACUAAAGGUAGAGAUAGAUAGAUAGAGCUUUGAGGGACCGAGUAUCUACAUAGAUUCUUUAAGAAAGGCGCAACAUAGUUAUGAAAUAGCUUAUUAUAGUGCAUUUGAUACAAUAGAGAUGAUGUAAUGAACUAGUUGUAAUGAAUUAGUCGAUAAAGAUAAUGCAAUUUGGUUAAAUUGG
This is a long non-coding RNA of Argentina anserina (silverweed cinquefoil), 1609 nucleotides long. RefSeq lists it as uncharacterized. Lineage: Eukaryota; Viridiplantae; Streptophyta; Magnoliopsida; Rosales; Rosaceae. The transcript has 5 exons. The record is from RefSeq and is a predicted model, not a curated record.